RNAcentral lists this long non-coding RNA (647 nucleotides) under Manihot esculenta (cassava). RNAcentral's name for it is "long non-coding RNA (MESC_LNC010666)". Lineage: Eukaryota; Viridiplantae; Streptophyta; Magnoliopsida; Malpighiales; Euphorbiaceae. The record is from RNAcentral.
UACGAGUAUAUUACUAAAUAUGACAUUUUUAUCCAUAGAAAAAUUUAUAUUACAAAAAAACAUAAAUUUAAACGUAAAACAUUAUCUUCCUUCCAAUGACUCUAGCUGCAUCUCUAGCGUUUGUUGGGCUUCCUCGCCCGGAGGCCGGGGCUGCGAAAGUGAUCUACCUUGCGAAGAAGGCCGGAGAAGGAAACGGAGAGUAAAAAUGUCAUAAGAAAUCACAGGAAAGCAGUCUAGGGUAUUUCUUGCUCAUCGCUAUAAAAUUGCACUGCGAAAUCUCAUUGAUUUGGAUGGAUUUUGGCAUUCCCUUUCACUUUUUUUUCUGCCUUGCUCAAAAUUGGUAUGGUUUUCUAUUUGAUAUGGCUAUUUAAAUAGAUGAUAUUGUAGAAUCAAGCGUCUGAAUUGGAAUUGAUGGGCAUUGACGAGGAGGUAGAGAAAGUCAUGCACCACUCUGAUUUACAAUUACAUGUGCCUAUAAAUUCCUCUAAUCUUCAUUCCUCUACUUCAUUCCUCUAAUCUAUUAACUUUGUGCGUAAAAUUCUUUUGAAAACCAGGAACCAGCUGAUGCGGAUCGUCCGGCAUUUUCAUUUUGGUCCUUUAGCUUCUGGUGACAACUAUCGGUUUCUGAUGGUUACUUCUUCUUCCUC